This is an RNA transcript of Drosophila subpulchrella, 6537 nucleotides long. It is a transcript of the gene named mucin-2, with no coding region annotated. Lineage: Eukaryota; Metazoa; Arthropoda; Insecta; Diptera; Drosophilidae. The transcript has 11 exons. The record is from RefSeq and is a predicted model, not a curated record.
UAGUUCGCAAAUCGCAUUGGAGCCCAUACCAUCCCUCCACGGAUUUUGGAGUUGUUACCAUCUAUUUUUUUUUUAAUGUGUCCCGUUUCUUGGAAAAGAAAAAGUGAUAAAAAAGGAAGGGGAAGUAAGUUAAGUGAUUGUGGAUUUUGUGCGCGCUGUGAUAUUUGCCUCUGUCAUUGGGGUCUUUGAACCCCCGCCCACAGAAUAACCGAAAGCGGUAUCAUUUCGUUUUUUGGGCUUCGUGCAACUCCAAAAAAGUGUGACGGCGUCUGUUGUCCAUUAUCGCGAGAAGCUUUUCGCGUUGCCCGAUAACCGAUAAGUGCAGUAAACCCACCACCCCCCUCGCCGCCAAAGGGCAAUCAGUUAUUGGCCCGCUGCCGCCGCCGCCGCUCUAAUGAACGUUGAACUGCAAAUUGCAAAAGCGUACGAAAAUAACAAACAAAUGCGAAAUUCGCUCUCUAGCGGGACAUCCGCGUCGCUCGCACACAUACAUACAUGCGUACACAAUAAUGAGUGUAAUAAAUGGGUGCAUUCACCUCUGAAAUGGAAUAUGUAUGCGCAUCUCUAUCUGGAUCUGGUGACUGUCUAUCGGGAGAUCACUCACUUGGCGGAAAUAAGUUCAUAAUACUUUCUGUAUUGGCAAUAUCGGGUUUUUUUCUAACUAAGAGGAUCCGAAUGGUGAAGGAGGAGGGAAAAGAUGUGCAGUUUGUGGUAUUUCAACCAGGAAUCUUUUCCGCGUCGGCCACUGAUCCAUUGAUCACGUCUGGAACGGCUGCAGAUCGUAGCAGUUGGCAGAUCGAAGAUUACUCAUGCAAAGAUUGGGAAUGGAGCGGGAAUGGAGCAUCUCCGGUGCGGAAGUGGCGCACGUCGCUCUCCGGGGCACCGAGCUGGAUUUAGUCAUGCAUCUGGCGGCAUGCACGGCGAAGACUCUCUUCCGGUCUUUGCAUUCUGCAGUCUACAUUCUGCUAGAUGCUCACUGCACUCUAUUAGCCAAGAUUUGUCUUGGUCUCUUUGUGGCGGCAGACCGUACAUUCAACGUACUUAAAUCACGCGGCGUUCAAUCGGCAUUCGAGUUAUGCAACAUUCUCGGAAGCGAGCGCACCCAGCGACCUUUUAAGCGCGUCUGCCCCGCUUCAAGUCACCACUGCCACACCGGAGCUGACCGCGGUAGCACUCAAGGUUCCACAAAAAGACAUAGGAAUCGGAAUAGGAAUACUAAGGAUACCAGCAGCCCAAUCAGAUGAGCCCAAGGUAACGACGACAUAUUGUUUCCAGUCGAAAUCCAAGUCAUUUGAAGAAGAGUGCCCAUCAUGACGCACUGCCUCUGGUCGACGAUGCUGGCCGUCCUGGCCCUGCUUUCCAUGGCGACCAGUCGCUCGGUGCGCCAGGUGCCAAGUGCAUAUUCGCAUCCGCCCGUGCUGCCCGGCGGAUACUACGGACAGCCGGCCUACGCUUACCCCCCGCCCUACGGCUAUGGAUACCAGGCACCACCCCCACCGCCACCCGUCUACAGCCCUUAUUACGACAACGUUUUCGGAGUCUACAAGAGCUACCCCGGCGGCGGAUAUCCCGUGCGGUUUGAUUAUAACAAUCGUUGCUCUCGGAACUACAUUGGCAUCAAGCCCCAUCCGGAUCAGCAGCAGUACUACUAUGUCUGUAAGCCGAACUGUGUGAUUUUUAGCAAAUGUCGCGACCUUGAGAGUUUCAAUUCGAGCAGUGGACGCUGCGGGCAACACAUUCCCCAGCACAGGCUGGACCACAGUCCGCCGCAGUGCCAGAAGGAGGGCCGCUUUCCACAUCCCCACGACUGCAAGGUGUACUACAGGUGCGACAAAAACCGGACGCAGCCCUGGCUCUUCGCCUGUCCAUCGGGCACCAUUUUCUCGCCGAUAGAGCGCAAGUGCCUGCCCGGUGACCAGUGUCCCUCGACGGAGAUAUCGAAUAGUGGCAGCUACAUCCCACAGAACUGCGAGCUCAAGUUCCCCGAAUGCGCCGGCGAGGGCACCUUCCGCUCGCCGACGGACUGCGCCCUCUACUACACAUGUCGAUUGCAAGACAGCGGUACCUACCUGCAGACGCGUUUCAAAUGCCCCGGCAGCAAUAGUUUUGAUACCGAGCGGAAGCUGUGUCGUCCGCGCAACGAAGUCGACUGCUUUGACUAUGUCCCGGCACCACAAUUGCCGGUACCCUAUGCUCCACAGCCAUACUAUCCACCCUAUCAAGCGCCACCUCUCUUUGAGGAGGACGACUACGAUACAGAUGCCAGGGAAGAGCAGCCGGGAGGGUUUGAAAGACCCUCGGUAAAUGUGGUUAUUGUGCCCACAAAGACCACGCCAACGACCACAGCCACAACGGAGCGCACCACUGCCUAUUACAAAUACGACAAUUAUCCCUCAUAUGAUUAUUCCUCACAUCAUAACAAAAAAGAAGAACCGUCAGCAGAAAGCCAAAAGGUUAAGAAUGCGGAAGUCUUAGGCGGACCUAAGUUGUCGGAGCACGUUGUAGUCCUGCCCACUACACCGGCGACUACGACUACCAAGGAAACCACCAAGUAUCAACACAAAAGAUACACCUAUGCUACUGAGAGUACGAAAAUCGAACCUGCAUUAAGUGGCUUGCACCUUUCGGAAAAUAUUGUCAUUCUGCCCACUACGACCACCACGACUACGCCAAAACCAACAGCUCCGACUUGCCCCACCUUACUAACGCCAAGUACAACAGUCACGAUUCCGAAAACAACUACGACUAAAACCACCACUCAGAGACCAAAGCCAACGACUCAGGAAACCUCGACAGUUACCGAAAAAACUACCACACCGACUCCGAAAACUACUUUAGUGACAACAACGACUCGGAAACGAAGCACGACCACUCACAAAUCGUCACCAGUUACUAAAACCACAAAAAAGGCAACAACAAUUACUCCUAAAACCACAACAAGUACAGAAAAACCCACCACAUUGAAAACUACAACAGUGAAAACAACUACUGAUAAACCAACAACGACUACGCAGAAAACGUCAACAGUUGCUUCUACCACCAAAGAAACAACAGAAAGUUCACCUAAGCCUACAACAAGUACCGAAACACCAACCACGACUACUAUUAAAGUCUCUACAGUAACUACGACUACACAAAAACCAAAAACUACUACUCCUAAUCCCACAACAACCACACAGGAAACCACAACGACGACUCAGAAGUCAACUAGUGUGACUACCACUACGCGAAAGCCUACAACUACUUCUCAGCAAACCUCAACUAGCAAGAAAACAACAACGAAUACUCCGAAACCUACAACAACUACCCUGAAAACUACAACGAGGGAUUCGAGCACAACUGAAGUGACAUCCACUACCAAGAAACCAACCACGACUACUCAGAAAAUCUCUACAAUAAAUACGACACAGAAAGCAACAACGACAACCCAAAAGCCAACUACAGUGACAACCACUACUAAAAAACCAAUAACGACAACUCAGAAAACGUCAACAGUUACUACCACCACCGAAAAGUCCACAGAACGUUCUCCUGAUCCCACAACGAGUACGGAAAAACCUACCACUACUACUCAAAAAUCCUCUACAAUAACUACGACUACUCAAAAACCUACUUCAACGACCCAGAAAGCAACAACGACAACCCAAAAGCCAACUACAGUGAUAAACACUACUAAAAAACCAAUAACGACAACUCGGAAAAGGUCAACAGUUACUACCACCACCGAAAAGUCCACAGAAAGUUCUCCUAAACCCACAACGAGUACGGAAAAACCUACCACUACUACUCAAAAAACCUCUACAAUAACUACGACCACCCAAAAACCUACGACUACUACACCUAAUCCUACUUCAACGACCCAGACAACAACAACGACAACAGCAAAGCCAACUUCAGUGACAACCACUACUCAGAAACCAACAACGACAACUCCGAAAACGUCAACAGUUAAUACUACCACCCAAAAAACAACAGAAAGCUCUCCUAAGCCGACAACGAGUACCGAAAAACCAACAACGACUACUCAGAAAAGCUCUACAGUAACUACAACCACUGAAGAACCGACAACUUCUACGCCUAAACCUACAACGACUACUCAGAAACCUAUAACAACGUCCAAGGAAACAACAACGACGACUUUAAAGCCAACAACUGUGACAACCACUACUCAAAAGCCAACAACGACCACUCCGAAAACGUCAACAGUUACUACUACCACCCAAAAAACAACAGAAAGUUCUCCUAAGCCGACAACGAGUACCGAAAAACCAACAACGACUACUCAGAAAAGCUCUACAGUAACUACAACCACUGAAGAACCGACAACUUCUACGCCUAAACCUACAACGACUACUCAGAAACCUAUAACAACGACCAAGGAAACAACAACGACGACUCUGAAGCCAACUACUCUGACAACCACUACUCAAAAACCAACAACGACCCCUCCGAAAACGUCAACAGUUACUACUACCACCCAAAAAACAACAGAAAGUACUCCUAAGCCGACAACGAGUACCGAAAAACCAACAACGACUACUCAAAAACCGACAACUAGUACUCCAAAACCUACAACAACGACGACUCCGAAACCAACUACUGUGACAACCACUACGCAGAAACCAAUAACGACCACUCCGAAAACGUCAACAGUUACUACCUCCACCACAAAAACCACAAGUACCGAAAAACCUACCACUACUAUUUUAAUAGUCUCUAGUACGACCUCUCAAAAACCAACAACAUCUACUCCGAAACCUACAACAACGCCAACCACGCCAACGACAACUACUGUGACAACCACCAGUCAAAAGUCAACAACGACCACUCCGAAAACCUCUACAGUAACAACGACCUCACCAAAACCAAGCACAAGUACACUAAAACCGACCACUACUACUGAAAAAUCGACAUCAGUUACUGCAACAAGCACAAGUAUCGCGACCACGGAGAAUCCAACAACCAUUCCUGCGCAAAACUCCACCACCACGACUGAGCUGACCACUGUCACGCGACCGCACUGUCCCGAACCCGACUCCACCUCAGUGUCCAGCCCCGGGGACUAUCCCACCGAGAAGGUGCCGCAGCUCAUCGUUAAGGUGUACGAGCCCAUCGACCUGAAGAUCGUCUUCUGCCCGAAGUCCUGCGACCAGGACCACGACCACAAAUACGCUUCGACACUCUUAGAAUCCGAAAUGACCCCAAAGGCAGCCGCAGGAUGCGGUGGCACAUGGCCGCCUCCUCCUUCUGGCAUUCGCAUCUCCCACCUGGGCAGCAAUUAGCAUUAACACAAACGGCUUGACUGCAGUUGGUGAGCAAACAAAGCGCUAGUCAGGUCGAGGCGAAUGACUUGUAUAUUGGGCCACUCCAAGGGGCAGGAACUGCCUGCUGCUACUCCUACUGCAUCUACUACGCCUACACUCGCCAUGCGGCAUGCGGCGCAAUUUGCGGCCCAGUGACAACAUCGCUCGGCCGACUGGACUGGAGCACCGCACCGGUCAGGGACCGGGACUCCGGACUCUGGACUCCGGACAUGGACAUGGCCCAGGACAGGAGAGGACCAGGACAGAGGCCAUCAUCAGCGGCAGAAACUCGCCGGCAGUGGGGUGCGCGCGAAAUAACCAUUCUGAGGAAUUCAGCAUGCGACAAAAAAUGUUUGACGAAGAUUUCGAAGAAUGGAACUGACAUGUUUAAUCUAUUGCAACAUGCAUUGAUAAUUGCCUGCAAAAACAGAUUGUUUCCAGUGCUCGGUUAUGGACGGGCCAGAUCGGAAUGAACUUGAAGUAAAAGCCAGAAACGCACUAAUGUCCUUCGACGACUGGACUGGCAAAUAAAAAGUUUGCCGCUACAGUGCCCCCACCUCCGCUGCGGUGGUCUCAUGUGCGCGGCGACAAAGUUUUUAUUCCUUUGUUUAGAAUAAGCACAAGUGCGCACGUGUUCCGUUUGAGUCCGCUUUAGUGCAGCAGGGGCGGUUUGGAGGCUGGGUGGCUCGGAGGAGGCUGGGAAUGGGUCUGCGCCUGCGAUGCCGUUAAAUUUUAAUGCGCCCGUAUCGAUAUGCGUGCAUGGACCGCGCCCGCGCCAGCGGAAUCUAUAAAAGCCAAACUCGCGUGUCACCAUCGCCACCUCCAUCCGGCGAUUCCUACUCCCUCUAAUGCCGCCUGGUUGCCGGUGGUAGCUGCCGGUCGUGAUAAGGCAAUUGGCAUCUGGAGGUUAGUUGCUGGGCCAACGAGGCAGGCAGCUGCACUCGCCUAUGAAUAUCCCAUGAGCUCACGCACUCCAACAUUUGCUCGUACUUUGCAUAAAUUCGCAAUGUCGCGACUUCUAAUCAAUAGCAUCGAGCCGGGGGAACCGAAGUGGAGUGGAGAAUUUGGAGGAAAGAAAAGCCCAGCCGUCACCGAAACCAUAAGGAUGAAAUAAAAACAUUGAUUUCAGUCAACUAGCAAGGAAAACAAAAGUACAGUUUAAUUACAAAAUAUAUUAGUUAUUAUGUUUAAUCACUUGUUUCACUAAUUUUAUAAACAUUAAUUUUAAAGUGUA